This is a long non-coding RNA of Lycium barbarum (goji berry), 587 nucleotides long. RefSeq lists it as uncharacterized. NCBI's taxonomy places the organism in Eukaryota, Viridiplantae, Streptophyta, Magnoliopsida, Solanales, Solanaceae. The record is from RefSeq and is a predicted model, not a curated record. The transcript has 3 exons.
AGACUUUGAGAGCUCCCUUCACCCCCACUGUUUCGGCCACACCACAAGAAAAACCAAAUCAAUUUCUAGCUCUUCUAAAAAUACUUCUUUGGUAUAGACCCACUAUAUUGAAGUCCCUAAGUAGCGUGGAAGUAUCGUUUGGGUCAUCCAACCAUUAGUAGUGCCCAUUUGCAAACCCUAGCUAUUGAUGGAAGUGAAGAACAAAGACCUUGGGGAGCCCGAGGCGUAGAUUGGAUAUUUAAUUAAGAUUGACUAUCUUGGAGUGCGUAUGAGGUACCGACGCACAGUUUGGUGAUCCACCGCUUUAGGACACCCCUUUUUGCUGUUGGAGUGCUCUUCUCCUUUCAGAGCAGACCUUUUGGUAUACACUUUUGUUCGCUAUGUUUGUAUAUAUUCGUUCAUGGGUACGGCGGGACCCUGUCCCGCCAUAUGAUUCGUUUGGUAUGUUUAGAGGUCUGUAGACUUAUUUAUGGGUGUGUGUGCCUACUUCUGUUCAGUUGUGUUUAUAUGACUCUAUUCGUUAUGGCAGCCUUGUCGGCGUGCGUUUGUAUAUGUGUUUUGGGCCGUGGUGCCAUUUGAUAGCCUUG